This 873-nucleotide ribosomal RNA is filed under the name Triticum aestivum (bread wheat). RNAcentral describes it as "partial small subunit ribosomal RNA". Lineage: Eukaryota; Viridiplantae; Streptophyta; Magnoliopsida; Poales; Poaceae. The record is from RNAcentral.
AUGUCUAUGAUGAGUGAACUCAAAUUCUUCCUUGGGUUGCAAAUCAAGCAAACUAAGGAAGGUACCUUUGUUUCUCAAACGAAGUACACCAAGGACUUAUUCAAGAAGUUCAAUAUGCAAGAAUGCAAAGGUAUGUCUACACCCAUGCCUACUAGUGGACAUAAUGACUUGACCAAAGAUGGUGAACCGGUUGAUCAAAAGGUUUAUCGCUCUAUGAUUGGUUCAUUGUUAUAUCUAUGUGCUUCACGUCCCGAUAUCAUGCUAAGUGUGUGCAUGUGUGCACGAUAUCAAGCUGCUCCUAAGGAAUGUCAUCUUAAGGCCGUGAAAAGGAUAGUGAGAUACUUAAUCCAUACACCAAUUUUUGGCAUUUGGCAUCCCAAGAGGGCCUCUUUCGAUCUUGUUGGCUAUUCCGACUCGGACUAUGCCGGAGACAAGGUUGAUAGAAAGUCCACUUCAGGUACUUGUCAAUUUCUUAGUAGAUCUCUUGUGUCUUGGUCCUCCAAGAAACAAAACUCGGUAUCCUUAUCCACCGCCGAAGCUGAAUAUAUUGCCGCUGGUUCAUGUUGUGCUCAAUUACUUUGGAUGACCCAAACUCUUAAAGAUUAUGGGAUAUAUGUGAGACAUGUUCCAUUGCUUUGUGACAAUGAAAGUGCUAUCAAAAUUGGUCAUAAUCAUGUGCAACAUUCUCGAACUAAGCAUAUUGAAGUUCGUCAUCACUUCAUUCGAGAUCAUGUUGCUAAGGGUGACAUUGAUCUUAAGCAUGUUCGCACCGAAAAGCAAUUAGCAGAUAUAUUCACUAAACCUCUUGAUGAGAAAGUGUUUUGCAGGUUAAGAGGAGAAUUGAACAUCAUUGAUGCUUCAAACUUGGAGUAG